CGUAGGGGGCAAGCGUUGUCCGGAUUUAUUGGGCGUAAAGAGCGUGUAGGCGGCUUCACAGGUCCGCUGUGAAAACUCGAGGCUCAACCUCGAGCUGUCGGUGGAAACCGUGUGGCUAGAGUCCGGAAGAGGAGAGUGGAAUUCCCGGUGUAGCGGUGAAAUGCGCAGAUAUCGGGAAGAACACCCGUGGCGAAGGCGGCUCUCUGGGACGGUACUGACGCUGAGACGCGAAAGCGUGGGGAGCGAACAGGAUUAGAUACCCUGGUAGUCCACGCCGUAAACGAUGGGUGCUAGGUGUGGGGGGUGUCGACUCCCUCCGUGCCGAAGCUAACGCAUUAAGCACCCCGCCUGGGGAGUACGGCCGCAAGGCUA
RNAcentral lists this ribosomal RNA (372 nucleotides) under uncultured organism. RNAcentral describes it as "bacterial SSU rRNA". It matches the Rfam family "Bacterial small subunit ribosomal RNA", at positions 526 to 896 of the family's 1533-position model. The record is from RNAcentral.